This 374-nucleotide ribosomal RNA is filed under the name uncultured bacterium. RNAcentral describes it as "bacterial SSU rRNA". It matches the Rfam family "Bacterial small subunit ribosomal RNA", at positions 30 to 416 of the family's 1533-position model. The record is from RNAcentral.
AUUGAACGCUGGCGGCAGGCUUAACACAUGCAAGUCGAGCGGAGACUUCGGUCUUAGCGGCGAACGGGUGAGUAAUACCUAGGAAUCUGCCUAUUAGUGGGGGAUAACGAAUCGAAAGGUUCGCUAAUACCGCAUACGUCCUACGGGAGAAAGGGGGGAGUCUUCGGACCUCUCGCUAAUAGAUGAGCCUAGGCCGGAUUAGCUAGUUGGUAGGGUAAAGGCCUACCAAGGCGACGAUCUGUAGCUGGUCUGAGAGGAUGGCCAGCCACACUGGAACUGAGACACGGUCCAGACUCCUACGGGAGGCAGCAGUGGGGAAUAUUGGACAAUGGGCGCAAGCCUGAUCCAGCAAUGCCGCGUGUGUGAAGAAGGCC